This 1334-nucleotide ribosomal RNA is filed under the name uncultured bacterium. Its description in RNAcentral is "bacterial SSU rRNA". It matches the Rfam family "Bacterial small subunit ribosomal RNA", at positions 28 to 1381 of the family's 1533-position model. The record is from RNAcentral.
GACGAACGCUGGCGGCGUGCUUAACACAUGCAAGUCGAACGGAAAGGCCUGCAGCUUGCUGCGGGUACUCGAGUGGCGAACGGGUGAGUAACACGUGGGUGAUCUGCCUUGCACUUCGGGAUAAGCUUGGGAAACUGGGUCUAAUACCGGAUAGGACAGCUGUUUAGUGUCAGUUGUGGAAAGUUUUUUCGGUGCAAGAUGAGCUCGCGGCCUAUCAGCUUGUUGGUGGGGUAAUGGCCUACCAAGGCGUCGACGGGUAGCCGGCCUGAGAGGGUGUACGGCCACAUUGGGACUGAGAUACGGCCCAGACUCCUACGGGAGGCAGCAGUGGGGAAUAUUGCACAAUGGGGGAAACCCUGAUGCAGCGACGCCGCGUGUACGAUGAAGAUCUUCGGAUUGUAAAGUACUGUCCUUGGUGAAGAUAAUGACUGUAACCAAGAAGCAAGCCCUGGCUAAAUACGUGCCAGCAGCCGCGGUAAUACGUAUGGGGCAAGCGUUGUCCGGAAUUAUUGGGCGUAAAGGGUACGUAGGCGGUUAUUUAAGUCUAAAUUAAAAGGCAUUGGCUCAACCAAUGUAAGGUUUAGAUACUGGAUAACUUGAGUAGAUGAGGGGAAAGUGGAAUUCCAUGUGUAGCGGUGAAAUGCGUAGAUAUAUGGAGGAACACCAAUGGCGAAGGCAACUUUCUGGAAUCAAACUGACGCUGAGGUACGAAGGCGUGGGGAGCAAACAGGAUUAGAUACCCUGGUAGUCCACGCAGUAAACGAUGAGUGCUAGAUGUUGGGAGUCAAAUCUCAGUGUCGCAGCUAACGCAAUAAGCACUCCGCCUGGGGAGUACGUACGCAAGUAUGAAACUCAAAGGAAUUGACGGGGACCCGCACAAGCAGCGGAGCAUGUGGUUUAAUUCGAAGCAACGCGAAGAACCUUACCAAGGCUUGACAUAUACAUGAAAAUCCUAGAGAUAGGAUCCUCUCUUCGGAGACGUGUAUACAGGUGGUGCAUGGUUGUCGUCAGCUCGUGUCGUGAGAUGUUGGGUUAAGUCCCGUAACGAGCGCAACCCUCGUCUUUAGUUACCAGCAAGUAAAGUUGGGGACUCUAGAGAUACUGCCGGUGAUAAACCGGAGGAAGGUGGGGAUGACGUCAAAUCAUCAUGCCCUAUAUGUCUUGGGCUACACACGUGCUACAAUGGUCUGAACAAAGCGCAGCGAACUCGUGAGGGUAAGCAAAUCGCAGAAAACAGAUCUCAGUUCGGAUUGUAGGCUGCAACUCGCCUACAUGAAGUCGGAGUUGCUAGUAAUCGUGGAUCAGAAUGCCACGGUGAAUGCGUUCCCGGGUCU